AUUCUUACAUUGAUACCAGUGGAUUAUCGGAUUUAUCCAAUCGAGAUAGUUAAAUUAUCAAUUUUAAAGUCCAAGCCGCCUCGGCGAGGACUUUAAAAUUUAUAAUUUAACUAUCGAGAUUGGAUAAAUCCGAUAAUCCACGAGUAACUAUGUAAAAAUCUGUUUCUCUAAUGAUUAAAAAGACAUUUUCUUUUUUUGUUAACCGAAAAUCCCCUUCGAGUGCCUUUCACAUUGCACGAAGUUGUCAAUUUCAUUAACACCUGUUAUCAUAUUUUGAUUCAUUCAGUUAGCUAAAAAGGUCAUGACCCUUAAAAUCAUCCAAUGAUCUUUUAGAUCACCAGCAACCACACGUUGAUUAAAUUUUUUUAUACAAUGGGUUCGGAAAGGGAUAAAUUUCCAUAGAGUUAGAGACUACUUUUCAAUAAUAUAACUUGGUAUUAAUUGUCUGUUAUAAGGUCCGGGAACACAGUUGUCGUCCUUUGAUUUUCGUCUUUACUGUGGACAGUGCAUCUGUCACCAAGGUCCAGACACUGUUAGAUAAGGGGAAGCUAAUUCGUAUAUGAUGGAACCAAGGGACAGUGGUCAGUCAAUCGCUAGACUUAAAUGUCUUAUAGGCAUAGCUAAAAACAAAAUACUAAACUCUGAGGGAAAAUCGAACAAUAAAACACAUCAAAUGAAUGGAAAACAACAAGGAAUGUUUUCAUAAUUUAAUAAAAAUCGGUUAAUGAUGGUAACAAAUCAAUCAGUAAACAAUGCCAAUUAACAAUAAUCUAAUUCAAGUACCAGGA
This 788-nucleotide long non-coding RNA is filed under the name Mytilus galloprovincialis (Mediterranean mussel). Lineage: Eukaryota; Metazoa; Mollusca; Bivalvia; Mytilida; Mytilidae. The record is from RNAcentral.